Molecule: transfer RNA, 73 nt
Filed under: Candidatus Nealsoniibacteriota bacterium
Lineage: Bacteria; Candidatus Nealsoniibacteriota
Also listed under: 1 other name
Description: tRNA-Trp
Rfam family: tRNA
About the family: Transfer RNA (tRNA) molecules are approximately 80 nucleotides in length. Their secondary structure includes four short double-helical elements and three loops (D, anti-codon, and T loops).
Source: RNAcentral
AGGCCCGUAGUUCAAUUGGUAGAAUGACGGUCUCCAAAACCGUUGGUUCCAGGUUCGAGUCCUGGCGGGCCUG